This 252-nucleotide ribosomal RNA is filed under the name uncultured bacterium. RNAcentral describes it as "partial 16S ribosomal RNA". It matches the Rfam family "Bacterial small subunit ribosomal RNA", at positions 524 to 776 of the family's 1533-position model. The record is from RNAcentral.
UACGUAGGGCGCAAGCGUUGUCCGGAAUUAUUGGGCGUAAAGAGCUCGUAGGCGGUUGUCGCGUCUGCUGUGAAAACCUGAGGCUCAACCUCGGGCUUGCAGUGGGUACGGGCAGACUAGAGUGCGGUAGGGGUGACUGGAAUUCCUGGUGUAGCGGUGGAAUGCGCAGAUAUCAGGAGGAACACCGAUGGCGAAGGCAGGUCACUGGGCCGCAACUGACGCUGAGGAGCGAAAGCAUGGGGAGCGAACAGG